RNAcentral lists this ribosomal RNA (488 nucleotides) under DMSP-degrading marine bacterium JA19. RNAcentral describes it as "bacterial SSU rRNA". It matches the Rfam family "Bacterial small subunit ribosomal RNA", at positions 375 to 881 of the family's 1533-position model. Lineage: Bacteria; Pseudomonadati; Pseudomonadota; Alphaproteobacteria. The record is from RNAcentral.
GGGCAAUCCUGAUCUAGCCAUGCCGCGUGAGUGAUGAAGGCCUUAGGGUCGUAAAGCUCUUUCGCCUGUGAAGAUAAUGACUGUAGCAGGUAAAGAAACCCCGGCUAACUCCGUGCCAGCAGCCGCGGUAAUACGGAGGGGGUUAGCGUUGUUCGGAAUUACUGGGCGUAAAGCGCACGUAGGCGGAUCAGAAAGUUGGGGGUGAAAUCCCGGGGCUCAACCCCGGAACUGCCUCCAAAACUCCUGGUCUUGAGUUCGAGAGAGGUGAGUGGAAUUCCGAGUGUAGAGGUGAAAUUCGUAGAUAUUCGGAGGAACACCAGUGGCGAAGGCGGCUCACUGGCUCGAUACUGACGCUGAGGUGCGAAAGUGUGGGGAGCAAACAGGAUUAGAUACCCUGGUAGUCCACACCGUAAACGAUGAAUGCCAGUCGUCGGGUAGCAUGCUAUUCGGUGACACACCUAACGGAUUAAGCAUUCCGCAUGGGGAGU